Molecule: long non-coding RNA, 1453 nt
Filed under: Equus asinus (donkey)
Lineage: Eukaryota; Metazoa; Chordata; Mammalia; Perissodactyla; Equidae
Description: lncRNA (ENSEASG00005025130.1)
Source: RNAcentral
AAUGAUAAUAAUAACAGUGACUUCCACAGAUGUUGAUCACCAACUGUGGGCCAGGCCCUUUCACACUUUUCUUAUGUUAUCUUAUUUGGUCCUCACAACAAUCCGUUUUAUCAAUGAGGAAACUAAGACUGAGAAGUUAAAUACAUUCUCAAGGUCACAUGACUAGCUAGUGGUGGAUCCGGGAAACCACGUCUGUCUGACAUCUACGUCCAUUCUCUGGCCACUUUGCCAACUCACCUUCAAGGGUCAACGGUGAUAUUAUCAUAAACAAUUUCAGCAGGGAAUGAAGACAGAAGCCAGAUUGCAGUGGCUUUGAAAGAGAGGAAGUGGGAAAGGGGAAAAACACUUUAUCAACAACUUUGACUUUGAAGGAGAAAAGAGACAUAAAAUGAAAACCAGAAGCCUAAAGACAGCAGCAUGACCCAAAAACUUCCUGGUCUCUCCACCGUGGACAAUCAGGCCACUGGAAAGGGAGAUGAAACUGAAGGCCUCUGCCCUCUGAGAAGAUGAACAGAACUCACCAGAGCACAAAGAAAAUAAAUAUCUACUCCUGGUUGAAGUCUUUUUUCGACUAGAGUCAUGGCCUUCACAGGGAGACAAUCUAUUGACCACUUCCGGAGCUGUGCUGUGGAAAAAGAAGAGACCAGAAAAAGGAAGCCUUGGGGACAUGUUUUGCAUGAAUUAGCAAAGUCCAAUGCUGGAACAUGUAUAUGGUGGUGACUGAGCUUUGGCCAUGCAGGAGAUGGCAGGAGCAACAUAAAGUCCGCAGCCUGGUCCACUCUCAGCUGCAUGCACCGCACCCACCCCAGGUCUUUUGUUCAUAUUCAAGCAGAGGUGCCAAUGAAAACAAACCAGAGAUGUCUGCACAGAGUUCCUGCCCUAAGAAAAGCCCAGGGCAGAAAGGUGAGUGUGUCCAGUGUAAAGAGUCUCAGAGCUCCUAAUGACUCCAGCCCAGAACUGCAGCAGAAGUUGCCAAGUGAGACCAUCACUGGGGCGAAGCUGAUGGGGCUCCUGAACAAGUCUGUGGAAGAUACAGAGUGGAAUGUACCCCAGGGAGGACUGGACCGGUAUGGCACAUGGAGUAACGAAGAUCAGCAUCGCUGACCAGAAUCUAUGCCCAUUAUGAGCGAGCAGGGGGAAGGCGGCCUGCAUGCUGCCCAGGGUGAGUGAGAACUGACCUGGUGGGACACAAGGCCACCUGGGCCCAGAAGAAACAGCAGAGACCUAAGUAUUUGGUCCUUUUGUCCCCAAAGAUUGAGGGGCCUCAGGGACAGUUUGGGAGAAAAAUUUAAUGCUGAGCUGGACUCACAGCUCCAUUCUUGGGCACCAUUUUGUUGCCUGUCCUGACUUAGCCAAAUGGACAUUUAACACUUGUCAAAAAUAUCCCUUCAGAACACUCACUCUGAGUUGCCUGCUAAUUCCAUGAAGUCAUUUGUGGUUCUUCCAUGAUAAU